UAUUGCACAAUGGGCGCAAGCCUGAUGCAGCCAUGCCGCGUGUAUGAAGAAGGCCUUCGGGUUGUAAAGUACUUUCAGCAGUGAGGAAGGUGGGUAUGUUAAUAGCAUAUUCAUUUGACGUUAGCUGCAGAAGAAGCACCGGCUAACUCCGUGCCAGCAGCCGCGGUAAUACGGAGGGUGCGAGCGUUAAUCGGAAUUACUGGGCGUAAAGCGCAUGCAGGUGGUUUGUUAAGUCAGAUGUGAAAGCCCGGGGCUCAACCUCGGAAUUGCAUUUGAAACUGGCAAACUAGAGUACUGUAGAGGGGGUAGAAUUUCAGGUGUAGCGGUGAAAUGCGUAGAGAUCUGAAGGAAUACCGGUGGCGAAGGCGGCCCCCUGGACAGAUACUGACACUCAGAUGCGAAAGCGUGGGGAGCAAACAGGAUUAGAUACCCUGGUAG
This 438-nucleotide ribosomal RNA is filed under the name uncultured bacterium. Its description in RNAcentral is "bacterial SSU rRNA". It matches the Rfam family "Bacterial small subunit ribosomal RNA", at positions 362 to 793 of the family's 1533-position model. The record is from RNAcentral.